CAUAGAAAACAGCGGCAAGGAGAGCGAUAAUUCAAUUCUCGACUUGGAUCUUAAUCCAGACGGUGUAAUUCGUCCAUUCAUGUUCGAGCCGCAACAUAGCUCGUCCUCAGGAGAAGGAGAAAUUUUUGUUGACGAAGAAACGCAGAGAUAUACAAGGAGAAACAUCUACGCACUCACGUCUUGGAAAUCGUGAGUGGUGCUCUUAGCUCGCGGCAACUGUCAAGAGAUGCCAACAGAAAACUAAAUUGCAGUCAAGAAAUUAAUGUACUAGGUGAUUGAUUCGCUCUGGAAGGGAACAAGCUUCAGUGUAUUACUAAGCACGGAUCAUUUAGACCCGUGUGUUUACUGGCCGACGUCUUAAGAACAGCCCUUAUUAGCACGCACCAAGUGAGAAAUGAUUGACUUGAAGAUUAUCCGUUAAAUGAGUAAGCAUUGACAGAAUCUAAACAUUUUCACAAAGUUCAUGCAAACAAAACGCUUAAGUUGUCUGCAAGUUAGUCUGAUGCGAACCGUAAGAAACAAAUGCAGUUUGUUGUCAGCCCUUUUAUCCCAAGCGAUGUAGUAAUCUUUUGUCGUAGGGGUGAACUUCACCGCAAUAUCAAUUGUAUACAGACUUCUUUAGUUUGUAUGCUUUGUUUUCCUAAUGGAGGUAAAUCAUGAGUAAGUAUGAACGUGAACGAGACAAAAUUGAAAGAAAGAGUACUAAAGAGAAUUAUUACAUUCCCUACUCUGGGAAAAUUAAAAAAAGGAGGUCUACUGUUCCAAAUUUGUUACGUGUACACAGAACUACACGUUAUACGACGCGCGUCAGGAAGUCUCCCGUUGUCGAAGUGUUAGCUUAGGAUAUAUCGAUCUCAUUACAAAUAGGCGCCUGCUUGACGAAAUAGAAUUUGUUUAUUUCAAAUGCAUUUGUCUUAGUUCCGUUCUGACCAUGUAUAAGAGUAUUUUGUUUUUUUCAUAUGAGUAUGCGAUUGGCGGGUUAUAGACAGUCCACUUGGUGGACUUAUAACAAUCUUGGUAACGGACAAACGCGUGACUCCUUCGCGUAUUGGGGCAUCAAUGAGAAGUAAUUACCCAAAUGCAGCCGGAAAUUAUAAAGGCUUUAAAGACGCUGAGGAGAAUGACUCAUGGCCGGGAUAGUCACGUUUAAUUAAAAAAAAAUUGUCUUUGUAUUUCCUAAACAUUAAAGGAGGUUUUUCUACGCC
This is a long non-coding RNA of Pocillopora damicornis (cauliflower coral), 1205 nucleotides long. NCBI's taxonomy places the organism in Eukaryota, Metazoa, Cnidaria, Anthozoa, Scleractinia, Pocilloporidae. The record is from RefSeq and is a predicted model, not a curated record.